AUUGAACGCUAGCGGGAUGCUUUACACAUGCAAGUCGAACGGCAGCGCGGACUUCGGUCUGGCGGCGAGUGGCGAACGGGUGAGUAGUGUAUCGGAACGUGCCCAGUAGCGGGGGAUAACUACGCGAAAGCGUAGCUAAUACCGCAUACGCCCUACGGGGGAAAGCAGGGGAUCGUAAGACCUUGCACUAUUGGAGCGGCCGAUAUCGGAUUAGCUAGUUGGUGAGGUAACGGCUCACCAAGGCGACGAUCCGUAGCUGGUUUGAGAGGACGACCAGCCACACUGGUACUGAGACACGGCCCAGACUCCUACGGGAGGCAGCAGUGGGGAAUUUUGGACAAUGGGGGCAACCCUGAUCCAGCCAUCCCGCGUGUGCGAUGAAGGCCUUCGGGUUGUAAAGCACUUUUGGCAGGAAAGAAACGUCGCGGGCUAAUACCCCGUGGAACUGACGGUACCUGCAGAAUAAGCACCGGCUAACUACGUG
Molecule: ribosomal RNA, 484 nt
Filed under: uncultured bacterium
Lineage: Bacteria
Description: partial 16S ribosomal RNA
Rfam family: Bacterial small subunit ribosomal RNA
Source: RNAcentral